AGUGAACGCUGGCGGUAGGCCUAACACAUGCAAGUCGAACGGCAGCACAGAGGAGCUUGCUCCUUGGGUGGCGAGUGGCGGACGGGUGAGGAAUACAUCGGAAUCUACUCUGUCGUGGGGAUAACGGAGAGAAACUUACGCUAAUACCGCAUACGACCUACGGGUGAAAGCAGGGGAUCUUCGGACCUUGCGCGAUUGAAUGAGCCGAUGUCGGAUUAGCUAGUUGGCGGGGUAAAGGCCCACCAAGGCGACGAUCCGUAGCUGGUCUGAGAGGAUGAUCAGCCACACUGGAACUGAGACACGGUCCAGACUCCUACGGGAGGCAGCAGUGGGGAAUAUUGGACAAUGGGCGCAAGCCUGAUCCAGCCAUACCGCGUGGGUGAAGAAGGCCUUCGGGUUGUAAAGCCCUUUUGUUGGGAAAGAAAUCCAUCUGGUUAAUACCCGGGUGGGAUGACGGUACCCAAAGAAUAAGCACCGGCUAACUUCGUGCCAGCCGCCGCCGUAA
RNAcentral lists this ribosomal RNA (505 nucleotides) under uncultured bacterium. RNAcentral's name for it is "partial 16S ribosomal RNA". It matches the Rfam family "Bacterial small subunit ribosomal RNA", at positions 29 to 523 of the family's 1533-position model. The record is from RNAcentral.